RNAcentral lists this ribosomal RNA (253 nucleotides) under uncultured bacterium. RNAcentral describes it as "partial 16S ribosomal RNA". It matches the Rfam family "Bacterial small subunit ribosomal RNA", at positions 524 to 776 of the family's 1533-position model. The record is from RNAcentral.
UACAGAGGGUGCGAGCGUUAAUCGGAAUUACUGGGCGUAAAGAGCGCGCAGGCGGUCGUACAAGUCGCGUGUGAAAGCCCCCGGCUCAACUGGGGAGGGUCACGCGAUACUGUUCGACUCGAAGGCAGGAGAGGGUAGUGGAAUUCCCGGUGUAGUGGUGAAAUGCGUAGAUAUCGGGAGGAACACCAGUGGCGAAGGCGACUACCUGGCCUGUUCUUGACGCUGAGGCGCGAAAGCUAGGGUAGCAAACGGG